Ailuropoda melanoleuca (giant panda) is the source of this 92-nucleotide small nuclear RNA. NCBI's taxonomy places the organism in Eukaryota, Metazoa, Chordata, Mammalia, Carnivora, Ursidae. The record is from Ensembl.
GCUUGUUUCAGCAGACAUACACUAAAAUUGGAUGAUACAGAGAAGAUUAGCUCAAGGAUGACACGCAAACUCGUGAAGUGUCCCAUAUUUUU